GCCUCUAUAGCUGAAAUGGAUUAGCGCCUGACUCUUAAUCAGGGGAUGUAGGAUCGUUACCUUCUGGGGGCA
Molecule: transfer RNA, 72 nt
Filed under: Enterococcus sp.
Lineage: Bacteria; Bacillati; Bacillota; Bacilli; Lactobacillales; Enterococcaceae
Description: tRNA-Lys
Rfam family: tRNA
About the family: Transfer RNA (tRNA) molecules are approximately 80 nucleotides in length.
Source: RNAcentral